RNAcentral lists this ribosomal RNA (905 nucleotides) under uncultured archaeon. Its description in RNAcentral is "bacterial SSU rRNA". It matches the Rfam family "Archaeal small subunit ribosomal RNA", at positions 21 to 902 of the family's 1478-position model. The record is from RNAcentral.
ACCCCACUGCUAUCGGGAUAGGACUAAGACAUGCUAGUCGAGUGCUCUUUAGCCAUGAUGAGAGCACGGCAUACAGCUCAGUAACACGUGGCUAACCUGCCCUUGGGAUAGGAACAACCCCGGGAAACUGGGGCUAAUUCCCAAUAGGUGAAGAACUCUGGAAUGAGUCUCCGCCAGAAAAGACGCUUACGCCAUGCUUGUAGGCGUCGCCCAAGGAUGGGGCCGCGACCGAUCAGGUUGUUGGUGAGGUAACGGCCCACCAAGCCUUUUACCGGUACGGGCCGCGGGAGCGGGAGCCCGGAGAUGGGCACUGAGACAAGGGCCCAGGCCCUACGGGCCGCAGCAGUCGCGCAAACUUUGCAAUACACGAAAGUGUGACAGGGCUAUCCCGAGUGCCGCCCGCUGAGGGUGGCUUUUGCCCAGUAUAGCAAGCUGGGAGAAUAAGGAGAGGGCAAGUCUGGUGUCAGCCGCCGCGGUAAUACCAGCUCUCCGAGUGGUGUGGAUGUUUAUUGGGUCUAAAGCAUCCGUAGCUUGCUGAGUGAGUCCCCUGUUAAAUCCAGCGAAUUAAUUGUUGGUGUGCGGGGGAUACUGCUCAGCUAGGGGACGAGAGAGGCAGACGGUAUUUUCGGGGUAGGGGUGAAAUCCUAUAACCCCGAGAAGACCACCAGUGGCGAAGGCUGUCUGCUAGAACGCGCCCGACGGUGAGGGAUGAAAGCUGGGGGAGCGAACCGGAUUAGAUACCCGGGUAGUCCCAGCUGUAAACUAUGCAGGCUAGGUGUUUGGGCGGCCACGUGCCGCUCUAGUGCCGCAGGGAAGCUGUUAAGCCUGCCACCUGGGGAGUACGGUCGCAAGAUUGAAAUUUAAAGGAAUUGGCGGGGGAGCACACAAGGGUGAAGCUUGCGGUU